GCCAGACUCCUACGGGAGGCAGCAGUGAGGAAUAUUGGUCAAUGGGCGAGAGCCUGAACCAGCCAAGUCGCGUGAGGGAGUACUGCCCUACGGGUUGUAAACCUCUUUUGUCGGGGAGCAAAAGCCGGACGUGUCCGGCUGUGAGAGUACCCGAAGAAAAAGCAUCGGCUAACCCCGUGCCAGCAGCCGCGGUAAUACGGAGGAUGCGAGCGUUAUCCGGAUUUAUUGGGUGUAAAGGGAGCGUAGACGGCGGCGCAAGUCCGGAGUGAAAGCCCACGGCCCAACCGUGGGACUGCUCUGGAAACUGUGCGGCUUGAGUGCGGGAGGGGCAGGCGGAAUUCCUAGUGUAGCGGUGAAAUGCGUAGAUAUUAGGAGGAACACCGGCGGCGAAGGCGGCCUGCUGGACCGUAACUGACGUUGAGGCUCGAAAGCGUGGGGAGCAAACAGGAUUAGAUACCCUUGUAC
RNAcentral lists this ribosomal RNA (465 nucleotides) under uncultured bacterium. RNAcentral describes it as "bacterial SSU rRNA". It matches the Rfam family "Bacterial small subunit ribosomal RNA", at positions 330 to 793 of the family's 1533-position model. The record is from RNAcentral.